UACGAAGGGUGCAAACGUUGCUCGGAAUUAUUGGGCGUAAAGCGCACGUAGGCGGCAUAGCAAGUCGAAUGUGAAAUCCCUCGGCUUAACCAAGGAAGUGCAUCCGAAACUGCUGUGCUUGAGUACGAAAAGAGGAUCGCGGAAUUCCCGGUGUAGAGGUGAAAUUCGUAGAUAUCGGGGAGGAACACCAGUGGCGAAGGCGGCGAUCUGGGUCGAUACUGACGCUGAGGUGCGAAAGCGUGGGGAGCAAACGG
RNAcentral lists this ribosomal RNA (254 nucleotides) under uncultured bacterium. RNAcentral describes it as "partial 16S ribosomal RNA". It matches the Rfam family "Bacterial small subunit ribosomal RNA", at positions 524 to 775 of the family's 1533-position model. The record is from RNAcentral.